RNAcentral lists this long non-coding RNA (423 nucleotides) under Lynx canadensis (Canada lynx). RNAcentral's name for it is "lncRNA (ENSLCNG00005018572.1)". Lineage: Eukaryota; Metazoa; Chordata; Mammalia; Carnivora; Felidae. The record is from RNAcentral.
UUUACAAAGAAUAUCCAUUUGUCUUCUUCCAUGUUUCAGUGAGAGAACAGCAACGGUGCACGCGGGCGGAACUUGCCCCGGAUCGGUCUGGCUUCUCCUAUCAGACUUUCCCUAUGGUUUUCCAAAGCUAGAGCAGACUUCCAUUCUUCCUGUGGUGCACCUUGACUGACCACAUCCUGAUCUGCGUCGGGAGAAAAUGCACAUGGCAAGUAAUCUUGGACAUGAAGCAUCCUUUAGCGAGGGGGCUCAUCAAGUUCAAAAAGAUAACCUGAAACUGUCUCCUCCAAUGCCACAUCAUAAUGAUAUUACCUAGAAUUUUAUUUACAGGUUAGUGGAUGUACUUUCUUUUGUUACUUUGGUUCUUACUUGUUGUUGUGCCUCUUCUUUCGGAUAAACAAUAGACUCCAUAAGAUACUUCUUUAA